Molecule: long non-coding RNA, 185 nt
Organism: Eurytemora carolleeae
Lineage: Eukaryota; Metazoa; Arthropoda; Copepoda; Calanoida; Temoridae
Exons: 3
Source: RefSeq, a predicted model, not a curated record
UCAGGAAAUAAUGUUAGAGGCAGAGUUAGCAGUGAGAGCUAGAGAGGAGGCACUAAACCAGGAACUCUCUAGGCUUAGAGACGAACUGGACAAACAGAGAGAGAUGCAAAGUGAAUAUCAACAGGCGAAAUCAGCUGAAUCCGAGAGUUCCAAUUGUAUUAUUCAAUAAUGUGUUCGGAGGAUAG